This 1460-nucleotide long non-coding RNA is filed under the name Calidris pugnax (ruff). RNAcentral describes it as "lncRNA (ENSCPUG00000003423.1)". Lineage: Eukaryota; Metazoa; Chordata; Aves; Charadriiformes; Scolopacidae. The record is from RNAcentral.
UACAUUUAUUUGUUUCUAAUCUGCCUAAUUAAAUCAGCAAUGUGGUAUCUAGCGGCCAUUAAAAAUGUUUGGUUCGUUUUUUGUUUUUUUUUUUUCAGGGCCUGGCUUAGAAAGUAUUUCAUGGUCAGUGGAAAAAAAUGAGGAAGAGGAGGGUGUGGUUGCUGCUUAGAGGAUCUGGCCCUGCAAACGGGCUCUGGCUUGUGGAGAUGCGGUCCUUCGACGUGACCAGAUGAAGACUCCUUAUAGCCGCCCAUUGUUGCUGCCGGGGCGCUGGCAGCCGGGGGGCAGUUUGUGGCACGGGCGGAGGAGCGGGAGAAGCCGCCGCCGCCGCCGGUUGCUAGGUAAGGACCGCCUUCCCCUCCUCUCCCCGGGCCUUGUGCGAGGGCCAGACGUGCCACCCCGGCUCCCUCAAGUGCCUUCUUGCCUGCCUUUUCCAGGAGACCCAGGAGCUGCAAGGUGAACGCCGACCACCGCCGCCGCUCCCCGCCCGCCGUGUGGUGUCCCCGCCGCCGUGUGGUGUCCCCGCCGCCGUGUGGUGUCCCCCCGCCGUGUGUCCCCCCCCGCCGCCGCCACGGCCUGAGCGGUGAGUCCUUGCCCCAGGAGGAAAAAUUAAGUUGCAGAAAACUACGUCGGGUAUCGGGCAAACCGGCUCACGUCUCCCCAUUAAUUUAUGAUUAACUCGAGGUUUGAGGCUUGGUUGAGGGAGCGUGGCUCGCUGGCUGGUAGGGAUGUGAUAUACUCAUAUUUGCUAUUGUUGCUGGUUUUUUAGCUUCUCUUCUCCCUAUCAAGUCUGCCCCUCCCUUCGCUAGUCUGUUUAAAAUCGGCAAGCUUCAUUUUCUUAGCAGACAAAGGUCGAUCACAGCUUUUAUUUCUGAAUGCAAAUGUUCUAGGACUUGUGCCAGUCUUGCCUUCAUUGAUUACAAUAUAGCUUUUUUCUUGAAUGGCAUUUCCCCCCCUUCGCCUUUUUUUUUUUUUUAAAAAAAAAAAUAGAAGGAAGCUCAAGAAAAGAAACAAAGUUGGGCGGUGCAAGUUUUUAUAUUUAUUUAAUAUUUCAGUAGGUCUGAAACAUUAUUAAAUGUCCAUGUGCGGAGCAGUUCUAACGCAGCUGCUAACAAGUACGUAGGGGUUUAUGCCAUUUGUGUGUGUAUACACCAGGGUUCCUGUUUGCACUUCUCAACUAAUAUUUUCUAAGGUGACCGUGUGAUGAUCUUCAGUAAUUGUAUCUCAUUACAAUUACGUUUUCCUGAUUGUCUGAGCACCCUGAAUUUGGACAUGAAUAUUUUCAGAGUUCGUAUUUAAAUUUUAUAAUACCUGGCAUUGAUCGGGAUUAGUUUAUUAUUACCAUUUUUGUCAUAUAUAUUUAAAAUACUAUUUUUGAUGGCCUUUAAAGGUCCAUAAGUGCCGUAAGUGUAUUUUCUUCUUUAUCUUUUACGUGCGCACACGAGCACAUGCUCACGCAC